AGGACGAACGCUGGCGGCGUGCUUAACACAUGCAAGUCGAACGGAAAGGCCCGCUUGCGGGUACUCGAGUGGCGAACGGGUGAGUAACACGUGGGCAACCUGCCCUCAGCUUCGGGAUAACACUUGGAAACAGGUGCUAAUACCGGAUAAUAACUUUUCAUCGCAUGGUGGAUGGUUCAAAGUUUUUCGGCUGAGGAUGGGCCCGCGGCCUAUCAGCUUGUUGGUGGGGUAAUGGCCUACCAAGGCGACGACGGGUAGCCGGCCUGAGAGGGCGACCGGCCACACUGGGACUGAGACACGGCCCAGACUCCUACGGGAGGCAGCAGUGGGGAAUAUUGGACAAUGGGCGCAAGCCUGAUCCAGCAAUGCCGCGUGUGUGAAGAAGGCCUUCGGGUUGUAAAGCACUUUUAUCAGGAACGAAUACCAUUGGUUAAUAACCGGUGGGCUGACGGUACCUGAGGAAUAAGCACCGGCUAACUUCGUGCCAGCAGCCGCGGU
This 498-nucleotide ribosomal RNA is filed under the name uncultured bacterium. RNAcentral's name for it is "SSU rRNA". It matches the Rfam family "Bacterial small subunit ribosomal RNA", at positions 26 to 521 of the family's 1533-position model. The record is from RNAcentral.